This 216-nucleotide ribosomal RNA is filed under the name Glomeromycotina sp. RNAcentral's name for it is "partial small subunit ribosomal RNA". The stretch from base 40 to 216 matches the Rfam family "Eukaryotic small subunit ribosomal RNA", at positions 686 to 864 of the family's 1831-position model. Lineage: Eukaryota; Fungi; Glomeromycota. The record is from RNAcentral.
GGGUCAGCAGGUUGGUCGUGCCACCGGUACGUACUGGUCUCACUGAUUCCUCCUUCCUGAAGAACCGUAAUGCCAUUAAUUUGGUGUUGCGGGGAAACAGGACUGUUACAUUGAAAAAAUUAGAGUGUUUAAAGCAAGCUAACGCUUGAAUACAUUAGCAUGGAAUAAUGAAAUAGGACGAUCGAUCCUAUUUUGUUGGUUUCUAGGAUUGACGUA